UUAUUAUUUAGUUUGUGCUAUUAUGGUAAGCUUUGGUUUUGUGAAUCUUUUCCCUUUUGCAUCAUGAUUCGUUGAGGUUUUCCUUUUAUUUAGGUGUCCCGAAUGGCUUAUGAUUUCUUUUGACUCAGAUUAUUGACUAUUAUUAAUAGUGGUGUUGGAGCUAUCAUUGUGUAAAUGUAGUGGGAAGUUAUAAGGGUUGUGAUAAGUAAAUCGUAUAGUCUUAUAUCUGGUUUCAUAAUAUAUGUAUUUUCUGUUUAGGAUAGUUGAUUUGUUUUGACUGUCUUGGUUAGAGACGUAGUUUGGUUAUAUUGGUUUAUUUAGCUUAGAUUAAUAUUGUCUUUGGUUAAAUAAGUUAUUUACUUGGCUUAUUUAUUUUGAGUAUUGUCUUAGAUUUAAAUAUUAUGUUUUUAAUUUUUUUUUUAAUUAUGAUGGAAUGAGUAGUUUUGGUGUAAUAAUAUUGUUGGAUUUUUAUCUUGUCUUUCGCCCGACUGUUUAUUAAAAACAUUGCUAUCCUUAAGUUGUGGAUAGUAUGGCCUGCCCGGUGUGAUUAUUAUAAACGGUUGCAGCUUUGCUGUACUAAGGUAGCUUAAUAAAUCGCUUUUUAAUUGGGGGCUUGUGAAUGGUCUUACGAGGUGUAUAGUUUAGAUGUUUAGUUUAUCUGUGAAAUUGACUUGGUAGUGCGGAGUCUAUCAUUAUAAUUUAAGACGGAAAGACCCCGAGAUCUUUAAAGAGGUUUUUUGUUUGGGGUAAAAGUAAAUUUUUUAUUUAUUUUAUGAUCCUUAUGGAUGAAGGUUAAAGUUACCUCGGGGAUAACUGAGUAAAGGGUGGGGAGAGAUCGUAUCUAUCCAUUUGUUACUACCUCGAUGUUGGCUUAGGAGCCCAUUAUGGCGUAGAAGUUGUAUGUGGUAGUCUGUUCGACUAUUAAAUUCCUUAUGAGUUGAGUUAAAACCGGUGUGAGCCAGGUUGGUUCUUAUCUAUAUUUGAUUAUCAUUUAGUACGAAAGGAAUAGUGAUAUACAAGUU
Molecule: ribosomal RNA, 1022 nt
Filed under: Trichobilharzia szidati
Lineage: Eukaryota; Metazoa; Platyhelminthes; Trematoda; Strigeidida; Schistosomatidae
Description: 16S ribosomal RNA
Rfam family: Archaeal large subunit ribosomal RNA (bases 701-977)
Source: RNAcentral